Thalassophryne amazonica is the source of this 129-nucleotide long non-coding RNA. RefSeq lists it as uncharacterized. The transcript has 3 exons. Lineage: Eukaryota; Metazoa; Chordata; Actinopteri; Batrachoidiformes; Batrachoididae. The record is from RefSeq and is a predicted model, not a curated record.
CCUUGUUGAAUCUAUGCCAUGAAAAAUUAAGGCAGAUCUGAAUGCAAAAGGGGAUCCAACCCAAUACUAGCAAGGUGUACCUAAUAAAGUGGCCAGUGAGUGUAUAGAUAUAUUGCAUGAUGUAGAGUA